Molecule: ribosomal RNA, 253 nt
Filed under: uncultured bacterium
Lineage: Bacteria
Description: partial 16S ribosomal RNA
Rfam family: Bacterial small subunit ribosomal RNA
Source: RNAcentral
UACAGAGGGGGCAAGCGUUGUUCGGAAUUACUGGGCGUAAAGGGCGCGUAGGCGGCCUUCUAAGUCGAACGUGAAAUCCCCGGGCUCAACCCGGGAACUGCGUCCGAGACUGGAAGGCUUGAAUCCGGGAGAGGGAUGUGGAAUUCCAGGUGUAGCGGUGAAAUGCGUAGAUAUCUGGAGGAACACCGGUGGCGAAGGCGACAUCCUGGACCGGUAUUGACGCUGAGGCGCGAAAGCCAGGGGAGCAAACAGG